Molecule: ribosomal RNA, 429 nt
Filed under: Chloroflexota bacterium
Lineage: Bacteria; Bacillati; Chloroflexota
Description: Chloroflexi bacterium partial 16S ribosomal RNA
Rfam family: Bacterial small subunit ribosomal RNA
Source: RNAcentral
UGGGGAAUAUUGCACAAUGGGCGCAAGCCUGAUGCAGCCAUGCCGCGUGUGUGAAGAAGGCCUUCGGGUUGUAAAGCACUUUCAGCGGGGAGGAAGGCGUUAAGGUUAAUAACCUUGGCGAUUGACGUUACCCGCAGAAGAAGCACCGGCUAACUCCGUGCCAGCAGCCGCGGUAAUACGGAGGGUGCAAGCGUUAAUCGGAAUUACUGGGCGUAAAGCGCACGCAGGCGGUCUGUCAAGUCGGAUGUGAAAUCCCCGGGCUCAACCUGGGAACUGCAUUCGAAACUGGCAGGCUAGAGUCUUGUAGAGGGGGGUAGAAUUCCAGGUGUAGCGGUGAAAUGCGUAGAGAUCUGGAGGAAUACCGGUGGCGAAAGCGGCCCCCUGGACAAAGACUGACGCUCAGGUGCGAAAGCGUGGGGAGCAAACAGG